RNAcentral lists this long non-coding RNA (246 nucleotides) under Nicotiana benthamiana. RNAcentral describes it as "long non-coding RNA (NBEN_LNC037418)". Lineage: Eukaryota; Viridiplantae; Streptophyta; Magnoliopsida; Solanales; Solanaceae. The record is from RNAcentral.
GGUUAGCUCACCCUCGCGGGAUCACGACCCUUUGUCCCGGCCAUUGUAGCACGUGUGUCGCCCAGGGCAUAAGGGGCAUGAUGAAUUGACGUCAUCCUCACCUUCCUCCGGCUUAUCACCGGCAGUCUGUUCAGGGUUCCAAACUCAACGAUGGCAACUAAACACGAGGGUUGCGCUCCUUUGUCCCGGCCAUUGUAGCACGUGUGUCGCCCAGGGCAUAAGGGGCAUGAUGACUUGACGUCAUCA